RNAcentral lists this ribosomal RNA (250 nucleotides) under uncultured prokaryote. RNAcentral describes it as "partial 16S ribosomal RNA". The record is from RNAcentral.
UCCUAAGCAGAAAACCUACCGCGCUUCGCUUGGUCAACCCCUCAGCGGCAAAAAUUAAAAUUUUUACCGCUUCGGCGUUAUAACCUCACACUCAAUCUUUUAUCACGAAGUCAUGAUUGAAUCGCGAGUGGUCGGCAGAUUGCGAUAAACGGUCACAUUAAAUUUAACCUGACUAUUCCACUGCAACAACUGAACGGACUGGAAACACUGGUCAUAAUCAUGGUGGCGAAUAAGUACGCGUUCUUGCAAA